AUAAUGGGUCAGCGACUUAUAUUCUGUAGCAAGGUUAACCGAAUAGGGGAGCCGAAGGGAAACCGAGUCUUAACUGGGCGUUAAGUUGCAGGGUAUAGACCCGAAACCCGGUGAUCUAGCCAUGGGCAGGUUGAAGGUUGGGUAACACUAACUGGAGGACCGAACCGACUAAUGUUGAAAAAUUAGCGGAUGACUUGUGGCUGGGGGUGAAAGGCCAAUCAAACCGGGAGAUAGCUGGUUCUCCCCGAAAGCUAUUUAGGUAGCGCCUCGUGAAUUCAUCUCCGGGGGUAGAGCACUGUUUCGGCAAGGGGGUCAUCCCGACUUACCAACCCGAUGCAAACUGCGAAUACCGGAGAAUGUUAUCACGGGAGACACACGGCGGGUGCUAACGUCCGUCGUGAAGAGGGAAACAACCCAGACCGCCAGCUAAGGUCCCAAAGUCAUGGUUAAGUGGGAAACGAUGUGGGAAGGCCCAGACAGCCAGGAUGUUGGCUUAGAAGCAGCCAUCAUUUAAAGAAAGCGUAAUAGCUCACUGGUCGAGUCGGCCUGCGCGGAAGAUGUAACGGGGCUAAACCAUGCACCGAAGCUGCGGCAGCGACGCUUAUGCGUUGUUGGGUAGGGGAGCGUUCUGUAAGCCUGCGAAGGUGUGCUGUGAGGCAUGCUGGAGGUAUCAGAAGUGCGAAUGCUGACAUAAGUAACGAUAAAGCGGGUGAAAAGCCCGCUCGCCGGAAGACCAAGGGUUCCUGUCCAACGUUAAUCGGGGCAGGGUGAGUCGACCCCUAAGGCGAGGCCGAAAGGCGUAGUCGAUGGGAAACAGGUUAAUAUUCCUGUACUUGGUGUUACUGCGAAGGGGGGACGGAGAAGGCUAUGUUGGCCGGGCGACGGUUGUC
Molecule: ribosomal RNA, 890 nt
Filed under: Escherichia coli
Lineage: Bacteria; Pseudomonadati; Pseudomonadota; Gammaproteobacteria; Enterobacterales; Enterobacteriaceae
Description: partial 23S ribosomal RNA
Rfam family: Bacterial large subunit ribosomal RNA
Source: RNAcentral